This 324-nucleotide ribosomal RNA is filed under the name uncultured eukaryote. RNAcentral describes it as "partial 18S ribosomal RNA". It matches the Rfam family "Eukaryotic small subunit ribosomal RNA", at positions 1470 to 1796 of the family's 1831-position model. The record is from RNAcentral.
CCCUUAGAUGUUCUGGGCCGCACGCGUGCUACACUGACCGGCGCAACAAGCUUUUUUCCUUGGCUCGACAGGCCUGGGUAAUCUUCGAACGCCGGUCGUGAUGGGGAUAGAUCCUUGCAAUUUUUGAUCUUCAACGAGGAAUUCCUAGUAAGCGCGAGUCAGCAGCUCGCGCUGAUUACGUCCCUGCCCUUUGUACACACCGCCCGUCGCUCCUACCGAUGGGGUGAUCCGGUGAAUGAUUCGGACUUCCGCAGUGCUAGCUACUAGCUUUGUGGAAGAAAGUCUUGUGAACCUUAUCACUUGGAGGAAGGAGAAGUCGUAACA